UCUAAUACCGGCUGUCUCUAGGGCAAGUGGCAAAGGGUUUGGUAGUUGGUACCCGAGGUCCCAAGUUCAGUUGAUUCACAUUUUUUAGCUAAGUUUAUUUUUAAAUAAAAUAAACGAAGCGGAUAACGUGCUACCUAUCUCUCAAAUAUAUAUAUAUAUAUAUAUAUAUAUAUAUAUAGAGAGAGAGAGAGAGAGAGAGAGAGAGAGAGAGAGAGAGAGAGAGAGAGAGCUAGGCUUCCUAUGCUUUCGGAAGUACGGAAGCUUCCGUAUUUAUAAGUUGUUUUCAAUAAUGGGACAUCCGAUUCGGCGAUCGGUUCCGUUAGAUAUGAUCUACGCUAUUAGAACUAUCUAGAAACAAAUUUCAUAAAUUUUUAACUUCUUUUGUCUAGUAAACGAGUUGCCUCAAAUGAACGGCUGAAAAUAAAAAUCUAAAAAAAAAACAGUAAUAAAGACUCAAAUUUUAAAUCGGAAGUAUUGGUCUUGCUAAUGAUGUUAAGUAGAAUUUUCUAUUAAAUUUUUAUCUAAUUUGGAUACUUUUACACUGUUGAACUUAAAAACGUGCCACAUCGGCUGUUAAAAUAGUCAUUUUUGAGACCUUUUGAUCGCUUGGUAAUGAUGUCAAAAAAUUAAUAAAUUUUGUUUCUAAUAGUUCCAAUAGGAUAGAUUAUAUUUAACGGAGGUGAUCGUCGAAUCAGAUUUCCUAUCAUCGAAAAUAACUUACAAGCACGGAGAUCUCCAUACUUUCGAAAGUACAGGAGAUUUACUCUAUUAUAUAUAUAUAUAAUAUAUAAUUUAUUAAAGAGAGAGAGAGAGAAGAAGAAGAGAGAGAGAGAGAGCUAGGCUGGUAUAUUAUCGGUAGCACGGAGCCUCCGUGCUACCAAGUUAUUUUCAAUGAUGCGACUUCCGAAUCGACGAUCGGCUCCGUUAGACUUGAUCUACACUAUUAAAAGUAAUUGAAAACUAAUUUCAUAAUUUUUGGCCAUCAUUUGGCUAGUGAUCAAAAGGUUUUAAAAUUAACAAUUUUAAUGGUAGAUGUGAUGCGUUUGUGAAUUUAACGGUGUAAAAUAAUCCAAAUCCGAUGAAAUUUUUAUAGAAAAUUUUUUUCACUCUUUAGAAUAAGAUCAGCAUCUCUGAUCUUAAAUUUAAGUCUGUUUUCAUCAUUUUUUAUGAGAUUUUUAUUUUCAGCGUUUGUUUUUUAACUGCUUGUUUAAUAGGUAAAUAAUGCUGAAAAAUUAUGAAAUUUAGUUUCCAAAUACUUUCAAUAGUGUAGAUCAAGUCUAACGAGCCGAUCGUCGAUUUGGAAGCCACAUCAUCGAAACAACUUGGUAAUACGAAGACUUCCGUGCUACCGAUAGUACAUCAGCCUAGCUCUCUCUCUCUCUCUCUAUAUAUAUAUAGAGUUGAUUAGAAUACUAUCGAUAGUAAACGAGCCGUUUUACUACCUAUUGUUUUCGAUGAUAGAGCUUCCAAUUGACGAUCGGCUCCGUUGAACAUGAUCUAUACCACUUGAAGUGUUUAGAAAUCAAAUUUCAAAUCUUUUCGACAUUAUUUGCCUAAUGAUCAAAGGGUUCAAAAUUUGUAAUUUUAAUGGUCGAUAAGAGGCGUUUUCUCGUUUAACAGCGUAAAAAUAUCUAAAUCAAUUGAAUUUUUGUUAGAAAAUUCUUUAAACUAUUUAAAAACAAGAUCAUAUCUUGAUCUUGAUUACAAGACUCCUAUCAUUAUUUUUAAAGAAUAAUCAUUUUCAGCCAUUUAUUUUUCUGUUCACUUGAUGGACAAAAGAAUAAUAUCGAAAGUGCGUGAAAUUUGAUUUCUAGCUAGUUUAAAUGGUUUAGAUCUAUUUAACGGAGCCGAUAAUCAAUUUGGAAGCUCUAUCAUCGAAAACAAAUCGAUAGUAAAACGCUCGUUUACUAUCGAUAGUAUUAUAGCUCAACUCUC
Molecule: long non-coding RNA, 1935 nt
Filed under: Ananas comosus (pineapple)
Lineage: Eukaryota; Viridiplantae; Streptophyta; Magnoliopsida; Poales; Bromeliaceae
Description: long non-coding RNA (ACOM_LNC011380)
Source: RNAcentral